GACGAACGCUGGCGGCGUGCUUAACACAUGCAAGUCGAACGGAAAGGCCCUGCUUUUGUGGGGUGCUCGAGUGGCGAACGGGUGAGUAACACGUGAGUAACCUGCCCUUGACUUUGGGAUAACUUCAGGAAACUGGGGCUAAUACCGGAUAGGAGCUCCUGCUGCAUGGUGGGGGUUGGAAAGUUUCGGCGGUUGGGGAUGGACUCGCGGCUUAUCAGCUUGUUGGGGGGGUAGUGGCUUACCAAGGCUUUGACGGGUAGCCGGCCUGAGAGGGUGACCGGCCACAUUGGGACUGAGAUACGGCCCAGACUCCUACGGGAGGCAGCAGUGGGGAAUAUUGCACAAUGGGCGGAAGCCUGAUGCAGCAACGCCGCGUGCGGGAUGACGGCCUUCGGGUUGUAAACCGCUUUCGCCUGUGACGAAGCGUGAGUGACGGUAAUGGGUAAAGAAGCACCGGCUAACUACGUG
RNAcentral lists this ribosomal RNA (468 nucleotides) under uncultured bacterium. Its description in RNAcentral is "partial 16S ribosomal RNA". It matches the Rfam family "Bacterial small subunit ribosomal RNA", at positions 28 to 507 of the family's 1533-position model. The record is from RNAcentral.